Long non-coding RNA from Lynx canadensis (Canada lynx), 508 nucleotides. RefSeq lists it as uncharacterized. The record is from RefSeq and is a predicted model, not a curated record. NCBI's taxonomy places the organism in Eukaryota, Metazoa, Chordata, Mammalia, Carnivora, Felidae. The transcript is spliced from 2 exons.
GCAAAAGGAGUUUUCCAGGACAAAGGUUAGCGAGUUGUGGAUGACAAAGAGAAGAUGAGUAUUCAAGGACAAAGGGAAGGCAAGGACAAAGACAAGCCUAAGGAGAGCAGCCAGAGCCCAAGUGGGGAUUGGCAGGGGAAAAAAAAAAAAAAAUGCCGUCUGCGCCCAUCUUCCUUCACUGAACUCUAAACAGAACACUGACCGAGUUUUCUUAUGAACACAAGACAGAGUUGGAAGGGCACAGAGUUCCCAUCUUUCACUUUCUGCACCGAGGACAUCUCUAAAAUCAUUCGCCAAGUCAUAGAUGACUGUUACGUCAAGCUCGAGCUUACCUCAUUUCCUGCGGCCGACCUGCUGGCUGGUCCAUUGACUGCGGGCAAAUUCUAGAGCGGCGUACCCUCCAAGAUGCCUGGGCAUGGAGACCGUCUCCAGGAAUGCGCCGGUGGUUUGGUGGGAAGCAGUCUCUGAAUUGGCUGUGAGGAAAUCUAAAUAAACUGCACAGGUGUGA